AAACCAACAGGGAUUGCCUUAGUAGCGGCGAGUGAAGCGGCAAAAGCUCAAAUUUGAAAUCUGGUAUCUUCGAUGCCCGAGUUGUAAUUUGAAGAUCACAAUCUUGGAAUUGGUCCUUGUCUAUGUUCCUUGGAACAGGACGUCACAGAGGGUGAGAAUCCCGUGCGAUGAGGAUACCUUUUUCGUUUAAGAUGUGUUCGACGAGUCGAGUUGUUUGGGAAUGCAGCUCAAAGUGGGUGGUAAAUUCCAUCUAAAGCUAAAUAUUGGCGAGAGACCGAUAGCGAACAAGUACUGUGAAGGAAAGAUGAAAAGAACUUUGAAAAGAGAGUGAAAAAGUACGUGAAAUUGUUGAAAGGGAAGGGUAUUUAAUCAGACUUGGUAUUUAGUUAUCUCAUCUCCUUGUGGGUUGGGCUCUAACUUUUUACUGGGCCAGCAUCAGUUUUGGUGGUAAGAUAAUCGCAGUUGAAUGUGGCUCUUCGGAGUGUUAUAGCUUCUGUUGAUGUUACCUACCGGGACUGAGGUCUGCGACUUUGUCUAGGAUGCUGGCGUAAUGAUUAAACACCGC
Molecule: ribosomal RNA, 565 nt
Filed under: Ambrosiozyma kamigamensis
Lineage: Eukaryota; Fungi; Ascomycota; Pichiomycetes; Pichiales; Pichiaceae
Description: LSU rRNA
Rfam family: Eukaryotic large subunit ribosomal RNA
Source: RNAcentral